UUAGAGUUUGAUCAUGGUCAGGAUGAACGCUAGCGGGCAGGCUUAAUACAUGCNAGUCGAGGGGUAACAUGGUAACAAUACUGAUAACGACCGGCAAACGGGUGCGGGAACACGUACAGAACCUUCCUUUAAGCGGGGAAUAGCCCAGAGAAAUUUGGAUUAAUACCCCAUAGUAAUAUUUGAUGGCAUCAUUAGAUAUUUAAAGAUUUAUCACUUAAAGAUGGCUGUGCGGCUGAUUAGGUAGUUGGUGCAGGUAACGGCUCACCAAGCCUGCGAUCAGUAACUGGUGUGAGAGCACGACCAGUCACACGGGCNCUGAGACACGGGCCCGACUCCUACGGGAGGCAGCAGUAAGGAAUAUUGGUCAAUGGACGAAAGUCUGAACCAGCCAUGCCGCGUGAAGGAUGAAGGCCCUAAGGGUUGUAAACNUCUUUUACAGGGGAAGAAAUGCAUUUUUUCUAGAGUGUUUUACGGAACCCUGGGGGGC
This 487-nucleotide ribosomal RNA is filed under the name uncultured copper smeltery bacterium D82. RNAcentral's name for it is "bacterial SSU rRNA". It matches the Rfam family "Bacterial small subunit ribosomal RNA", at positions 1 to 488 of the family's 1533-position model. The record is from RNAcentral.